Molecule: long non-coding RNA, 8544 nt
Organism: Acinonyx jubatus (cheetah)
Lineage: Eukaryota; Metazoa; Chordata; Mammalia; Carnivora; Felidae
Exons: 2
Source: RefSeq, a predicted model, not a curated record
UUAUCAAGAAUGGAUGUUGUACUUUGUAGAAUGUUUUUUCUGCAUCUAUUGAAGUGAUAAUAUGAUUAAAAAAAUUUUUUUUUAAUGUUUUAUUUAUUUUUGAGACAGAAAGAGACAGAGCAUGAACGGGGGAGGGUCAGAGAGAGGGAGACACAGAAUCUGGAACAGGCUCCAGGCUCUGAGCUGUAAGCACAGAACCCGACGCGGGGCUCGAACUCAUGGACUGCAAGAUUAUGACCUGAGCCGAAGUUGGCCACUUAACCGACUGAGCCACCCAGGCACGCCAAUGAUUAUGUGAUUUUUAUCUUUUCUCUUGUUGAUGUAUCAUAUUGAUUGAUUUGUGAAUAUUGAACCACCCUUGCAUCCCAGGAAUAAAUCCCACCUGAUCAUGGUGAAUGAUAUUUUUUAAUUUAUUGUUAGAUUUGGUUUGCUAAUAUUUUGUUGAGGAUUUUUACAUCUAUGUUCGUUAGAGAUAUUGGCUUGUAGUUCUUUUUCUUCUUCUUUUUUUUUUUUUUUUUGUAGUGUCUUUGAUUUUGGUAUCAGGGUAAUGUAAUGCUGGUCUCACAGAAUGAAUCUGGAGGUUUUCCUUCCUCUUCUGUUUUUUGGGAUAGUUUGAGAAGAAUAGGUGUUAACUCCUCUUUAAAUGUUUGGUAGAAUUCUCUUGGGAAGCCAUCUGGUCCUGGACUUUUGUUUGUUGGGAGUUUUUUGAUUACUGAUUUAAUUUCAUUGCUAGUAAUCAGUCUAUUCAAAUUUUCUGUUUGAAUUUCUAUUUCUUCCUUCAGUUUUGGGAAGUUUUAGGUUUCUAGGAAUUUAUCCAUGUCUUCUAGGCUAAUACACUUUAAUGAAGAUAAAUAACAUAAAGUAGUGCAUGGUGACUACCAAGUGGAAUUUAGCAAAAGAACUAAACUGUUAUGGUUAAUUUUUUAGUUUACCUCUCACUGUGACCUUGGACAAGUUACCUAACCUCUCUGUGCUUUCAUUCUUUAUUUGUAAAUUGGGAAUAUUAAUAAAACCUAUUGCAUAGGGUUUGAGGAUUAAAUGAGUUACCAUAGAUAAUACCCUUAAAAUGUGGGUACACACAUAGUAAAUACCUAUAAAGUUAUUAGCGUUUAUUUAUGUAUACUUUUGUUAUUACUGGUAAAAUACUGACACAUAGCUGUGUCCGCAUUUUUCUUUAUUUGGGAGAAGUUAUGGGGUUUCGGGCUGGUGGAGAAAAGGGAGGUAAAUCUGCAUCUUCACCAUUUCAUAACCUAAUGAUUAUGUUGCUUUGCUUUGGGGUUCAUUCAUCUUUUAGAAAUAUACCAAUUUUACAAGAUUGAGCCUAGUUCCUCAUUUGGCUUUCCUUGCCCCGUACAGACUUAUUUUAACAUGGCUUGUAGUGACUUUUACACAGUGAUUUCAGCAAAUCAGAGGUAAGUUGGUGAUCUUAUAUGCUUUUUUUUCUUCUUCAUUUUUUUUUUUAAUGUUUAUUUUUGAGAGAGAGAGAGAGAGGGAGAGAGAGACAGCACAAGCAGGGGAGGGGCAGAGAGAGAGAGGGAGGGAGAGAUACAGGCAGAGAGACACAGAAUCUGAAAUAGGUCCAGAUUGUGAGCUAUGAGCAAAGAGCCUGAUGCGGGGUUCCAACUCACUAACCGUGAGAUCAUGACCUGAGCCGAAGUUAGACGCUUAACCGGUUGAGCCGCCCACGCGCCCUAUCCUAUUUUUAAUCAGGGUGCAUCUCUUUAUUUAUUUAUUUUUUCAGUUUUGACACUAUUCAUCCAGUGCUUCUAAUUUCAUUGGCACAUUAUAUUUUGGGGGCAACAUACCGUUUUCCCUUAGAUCAUUUCUGCUUUGCAUUCAAUGGUACUUUGAAACUAAUUCUCUGAACACUUGGGUUUUAAUCAAGUCUCUCUCGAUUAGCUUUAGCCUCUAGCAGUUUAUAGCGUCUCUCUGGGCCUUGGUUUUUGCUUUAUUAAUUGAAAGGAUGAGGCUUCCACUUUUAACAUUUUAUGAUUUUAGGAGAUGAGAAGAAAAAAUAGCUUCUGACUUGGUGUAUAGAAGUUUGCCGAUGUGCAAGAUAAGAUCUUGUGGAGGUUUCUCUGGGUUCCUUGUGAACUGCUCUUUUGAUGAGGGAGGAGCCAAAAAUGCAAAGCUCAAAACAUUGCCUCACUUGGGGAGACCAGUUAUAGUAGUUUAAAUUGUCCUGCCGGCUCAAGAUAGGAGCUCCACUGUUAAAAUGAUGAUGUUCUACUUCAUCAGUGGAAGGGAAGACGUGAGAUAUGUUCUAGGGAAUUUAUAGUACUGAACAUAGGUAUGAUGGGAAUGUUAUCAAUUAAGUACCAGAUGAAAAUACAUGUUUAGUAGUUUCAGAGCAUAGAGAGGAAUUAAGGUUGGAGAGGAAGUGGAGAUAGCCUGAUAAAAGUCAGGAAGGAGGCCUGUCUUCUUGUUUACAAGGAGGUGGAAACCAGUUCCUAUCCCUCAUUAACUGUAGACCUCAUCUUGAGGAGCUUUAAGCUUGCCUUUGGGGUGGGAAUGGGUAUAUGGAGGAGACUGGGGAAGGGUACAGGCUGUAGACCAUCUUAUCUUUUUUUUCAUAUAUUUUGUGUUUUAGAAUAGUUUUAGAUUUAUUGAAAAAUUGUGAAGAUAGUACAGAGUUCCCAUACACCCACAUCCAGUUUCCCCUAUUAACAUCUCACAUCUUAACCAAUGUUGAUACGUUAUUAACUAGGAUUCAUAUUUUAUUCAGAUUCCCUUAGUGUUUACCUAAUUCCUUCUUGUUUUACAGGAUCCCAUCUAAAAUGCCUUAUUACAUGUGGUUGUUGUAACUCUUCAGGCUCCCUCGGGCUCUGAUAGUUUCAAAGAUUUUCUUUUUGAUGGCCUUGACAGUGUUCAGGAGUACUGGUCACAUAUUUUGGAGGAUAUCCCUCUUACAAUUUGUCUGAUGUUUUCCUCAUGUUUAGACUGGAGUUACGGAUGUUUGGGAGGUAUGAGUGUUGGCCACAUUUUUAUCACAUACUAAGUGUACAUAGUAUUAGCAUCAUUUAUCACUGUUGAUGUUGACCUUGAUCAUUUAGCUGAGUUUGUAUUUGCCAGGUUUCUCUACUUCAGGGUUACUCAACCCACCCCCACCCCCAUCCCUUUCCAUACUGUAAGAAGUGAAGGAAAUGACUAUGCACAGCCCACACAUAAGGAGGAAGGAGUUAUGCUCCACCUUCUAGAGAGCAGAAUACUACAUAAUUUUUUUGGAAUUCCUCUGCGUGGGAGAUACCAUUCCUGUUGUAAUGUCUCCUUCGUUUCUUGAGGCUCUGUAAAUAUCUGCAUUGGGAUUGUCUUUAGACCCUGCCUUUGGGGGGAAUGUAAGCUCAAUUCCUAUUCCCUAAUUCUGUCCAGAAUAUCUGGUGUGUGCUGAUGUCAAGCACGUAAUUUCAUUUCAUAAUUAGAAAGGAAAGGCAAAUGGGGCCCCUGGGUGACUCAGUCGGUUGAGUGUCCGACUCUUGAUUUUGGCUCAGGUUAUGAUCCCAUGGUUGUGGGAUUGAGCCCGUUUUGGGCUCUGUGCUGAGCAUGGAGCCUGCUUGAGGUUCAUAUUCUCUCUCUCUCUCUCUCUCUCUCUCUCUCUCUCUCUCUCUCUCUCUCUUUCUCUCUCUCUCUCUCUCUCUCUCUGUCUUCCCCUCUGCCCCCUCCCCCUCCCUCGUGCUCUUUCUUUCUCUCAAAAAAUUAAAUUAAAUAAAAAAAUUUUUAAAAAGACAUGUCUAGGGGAGCUUGGGUGGCUCAGUUGGUUGAGUGUCUGACUUUGGCUCAAGUCAUGAUCUCACCAUUUGUGAGUUCGAGCCGUAUGUCAGGCUCUGUGCUGACAGUGCAGAACCUGCUUCAGAUUCUGUCUCUCUGCCCCUCCCCCUGCUUGUGCUCUGUCUCUCUCAAAAAUAAAUAAACAUUAAAAAAAAAAAAAAGACCUAUAUCUAGGGUACCUGCUGGCUCAGUCAGCUAAGCAUCUAACUUUGGCUGAGGUCAUGAUCUCGCAGUUCAUGAAUUUGAGCCCCGCAUCAGGCUCUGUGCUGACAGUUCAGAGCUUGGAGCCUGCUUCAGAUUCUGUGUCUCCCUCUCUCUCUCCCCUCCCCCACUCACACUCUGUCUCUCUCUCAAAAAUGAAUAAACUUAAAAAAAUUUUUUUAAAUACGUAUGUCUGAUUGAGGUGUCCUAUAAAACUCAUUUAUACUAGAGUAUCAGCAGGCACAUAGGACUAAUAGGAAUUGUGUUCCAAUUUUGGAAAUUGAGAGGAAGUUAGAGUAGGAGAGGAAGUUAGAGUAGGAGAGGAAUUUGGAAAAGCACUGGACUAGGAUAAUUAGAUAAUAGUUAAUAUUUAUUGUGCAGCGGGUACCAGGUAGUAUUGUAGUUGUUCUACAUUUAGUCCUUGUGUCAGUCCUGUGAGGUAGGUAUGACGAUUUCCAUCAUUCUUAAACAUGAGGAACAUGAGACCUAGAAGGGGUAAAUAAUCUACUCAAGGUCACACAGCUAGGAAAUGGCGGAGACUCCUAGUUGCCUACCCAUUAUUCAUCCCUUUCUUCCUUAGUCAGUGGAACCCUGUAUUGCCAAAUGUGGCAAUGUGCCCACCUAGGAAACUUCUCCCAGCCUACUAAUGAAAUGCAAGUAAAAGUCUAUUGGGGUUUCUAGGAAAGUGCUUUCAAGGGGACUUGGCUGUACAGAAUAUCCUUUUUUGCCCUUCCUUCCCUCUCCUACCAGGAAUAAGGAGGUGUAGCUCACAGCAGCCAUCCCAGGCCAUGAGGUUACCUUGAGGAUGGAAGUCAUGCACUGAGAAUGGUGGAGCAGAAAAAUCAAUGGAAUCUUAGUUCUUGGUGAUAACAGAGUCAUCAUAUGUGCUUUUUGAUCGCCUGCCUCCUCCUUUAUUUGAGAAAACAUAAACUGUCUGGUUAAAGCCACUAUUAUCUUAGGCCUGUACAACUAGUAGCUGAAUGCAAUUCCUGACCGAUGAAAAUUCUAACUUGAUUUUAUUUUCUCUUCUUACCACGAGGCUUAACGCAUUUUAAUAAUAGGAAGUUACCUUAGGGUACCUAGAUUCUUGUUGCUGUUUUGUUCUUUAUUAUAAUGUGACCUUGGAUAGAUCACUUAGAGCCACCCCCCUCCUUUUGCAUCUUUUGAAUGGGAAUUAUUCAUUCUCUAACUACUUUAUAAGUUUAUUAUAGGGAACGUGUUUGUGAACUUCCAAGUUGUCUUGUGUGAUGUAUAGUUCUUAAAGAGGGUCAUGGUCUUCCUAGGACAUUCUAUAGGAAACCUAUAGAAUCUGAAAGCAAUUUUCUAAUGUUGUCAUUUUGCUUAUUGCCAGGUUUGAAUAUUUCUCAGGGAAUAAAUAAAUGGAAGCUGCGAAGGGAGGUGAUUUUGUCCCUACUCUGAUACCUAUGAGUAGCUUAACAAUUGCAUUAUUGAUGAGCCCUAUAUUUUGUGCCAGGGCUGCCGCUUAGGAUGCAGAGUUCAUUUGUGUUUGAUAUGGCUGCUUUUAUUGUACUGGAGCAUUGUUUCCUGAAGAUGCAUUAAUCAAGGAAUCAGUAUACUGGAAGGUAACUAAAUGCUUUUGCUCUGAGAGCUAGCCAAGAACAAGGGGCGCAGAAGGAAAUGUUUGCAUAACAUGGGGAGAAUUUUUCUAGCAAUAAAAAUCAUCAUUUCCAGAUAGUUCUUUGAAACUAUUACAGGGGUGUUCACAAAAAACUGGAAGGCCUCCAGCAUGGGGCCACCCAUGUAAAUGAUCCCUUUUUUGUCACUACACCCCUUGUUUCUUUAUUUCCCCACAAGAACUCCCCGCACCCCACAGAGUGGAGAUAACUGGAGCUAUCUGGGAUUGUAAAGUACAUUUGUGUUACUCAGUUGAAGUAUAACUAUUGCCAGUGGAGGGUGUGGUUUGGAAGUAGAAUUCAUUUGGAAUAAGAAUUGCAUUUGAAUAUUACUCUUAAUUAGAUGCUUAAUAACGUGAAAUGCCUAGUAUCAGAAACAUUUCACCUCCUGUACUGUUCUAUCCUGUUUCUUCUUAGAAAAUUUCUUGAGAUAUUCAACUUUGUAACAUGGUAUGGAGUAUUUUUCACAUUUCGGUAGCAAUGGUGCUUCUCAAACUUUAAUAUACCAUAUGCCUACAAGUCACCUGGAGAUCUUAACAAAUGUGAUGCCUAAUUUAAUAGGUUUGGGAUGGAGCCUGAGAUUUCUGCAUUUCUAACAAGCUCCAGGUGAUGCUGCUGCUGCUGUUGGUCCCUGGACCACGUUUUGAGUAACAAUGCCCACAGUUACCUCUGCACCUCAGUGCUGGGGCUCUUAACACUGUCUGGGCAUCAGAAUCAGGUGGAGAGCUUUAAAAAAGACAUAUGCACUUGACCCCAUUGUCAGAUUUCCUGAUUAAUUAAUUCCUUCUGGAAUAGUUGGGAGUUUUGAAGGUGAGACUCACUGGCUUAGUGUCCUAUUAAAGAAUGUGAUGUUGAGUGGUUUCAGUGUGAUUUCUUGUAACUUGAAUUGUUACAUGUUUUCCUCAUAUGUAAUUCAUGUUGUGAUGACUUGUAGUCAAACAGAAUCCACCAUGCAUUUUAUAUAGGGAUUUUAUUUAAUCCUGUGUUAUCUUGUAGAAUAACGAGGCUGCACAUAAAGAAUGUUGUAAGACACUAUUGUUGAAGUAACGGGAAAGCAAUAUAUGUGAUAGUUAUGUUUCUUAGAGUGCAAGAAAUAGAGGUCUGUUUGGCUAAACACAGCUGAUGACGGCUUAUUAUAAGAAUACAUAGGUAAGUUAGUUGGAAGACCAAGGAAAUAGCUUCAGCAGUCCUUUGUGAAUAAGAGUAGCUCUGGGAAACGGAUAGUAAACAGCUACUCCAGAGAACAUUUCUUUGUGAGUUGGGAUAACUGUUACUCGUAUGUCAGUGACACCACCAUUUUUGUGACAUAGUUUACUUCUGUCUACUUCCAUGGUUUCUGAAGUUACUGAAUAACUGGCUCUCUCUUGUUUUUCUUACAGUCAGCCUCUCCAAGAAAGAGGCUUUAAGUAAGUUGGCCAGCCACUGUCCUGCACCCUUGUGGGCAGGGUUCUCAGGCCACAUUACUUCAGAGGCGCAGGGCAAACUAUAGAUAGCUACCUUUUUGGACCCAUCCCCGAUCCCUUAUCCUAGGAACUUGAGGGGUAUAUAUGGUAGGGCCUGGAGUACCUGCAGAGGAGAGUUGAGAAUCACCUGCAGCUGCUUCUAUCAGGCCUUUGGAUCUGGGGGAUGCUAAGAGGUUUAUUAGAAUGAAGAGGGUAAAAUUGGCAGACUCCAUGUAUGACCUGAAUGCUCUGACUUCUAGUAAUGAGUUCCACGAGGGGAGAGACUUAACGUUUUUUCAUUGUUAUGGCCUCAUAAGUCAGAACAGUGACUGGCACAUAUAUUCAAUACGUAGCUGCAUAAUAGAAUGGAAUUGAACUCUUAGGAAAUGAUUUAAUGCAUUUAUUAUUUAAUUACAUUUCAUUUUGAGCAAAUCCUUUUAUACCCAAUGAUGGAAAGUAAAUUCCUACUCUGUCCAUGGCCUACCCUAUUGAGAAGAGACCGUAGGCCCUGACGCUAAAGAUCUUCACGUUUUCCUGUUUCCUUUCUGGUUUAAGAGCUUUGGUAUCAUCAGUAAGGCUGGUACCAGGCUUUGGGCUGAAAAGGAAGCAAAUGGAUGUCAAGUCCAGAGCUGGGAGUCCUUCCGAAUGGCCUCCCUUCUGGGUCUCCUAGGCCUCCGAGGGGUCUUGAACUCUCGGGCAUGGUGGGUGGGCGUGGCAGGGCCUCCGCAGGGGGUUGUGGGUUCUCUGGCCAAGCGGCUGCUUCCGGCAGACGGCGCCGCCAUCUUAGGUCCCGAUUGAACCCGCUUUUAAAGUUCAAACAUAGAUUUGGAUACUUGACCAAGAAACGGAGGCUAAUUUUCAGCCAUCAGAUUGCUUCUUAGCAUAUCACCAGAAAACUUCAACUGGAAAAGGGAAAACAAACAGAUCAUACAUUGUUAUUUGUUAGACACCUAUAUCUGUCAUAAAUCUGUCAUGUUUUGUUUUUAAUGCUGGGGUUACAAACAACCUCUAGAGCUCAAUAUCUUAUAUAAGUUAUAUUCAACUGGUGAGCUGUAGCCCAGCCUUACUUGGCUUCUUCAUUCUGGGAUUCUGGCUGAAGGAGCAAUCUCUUAACUGGGAAAAAGAACAAUGGACAAAUCAUGUGCCACCUUUUAAAACUUCUAUUCAGAAGUAGCUUAUAUUACUUCUACUCACAUUUCUUUGGCCAACAGUGUUAGUGGGCAGGGAAGUGGAGUCUUUCUGCAGGAGGCCCUGCAAGUCACCUGGUACCUUGAGUGGGUGGAUAAUCCCUCAGGGAGAGCAGUGAGUCAUUGGCAACAACAUCAUCUACCACAGCCUUCUUAAAAGGUUCGCUAGUGUGAAUAAAUUGGAACUAUGGCAAAAACUUGGUUUUAAGAUUCUUUGUGUGUUAUUUUUCAUGAACUUUUGUAACUAGAAAUUGGCACAUUGAGCUUUUGGAAUAUAUUGUAAUUCAAUUUGCUUAUUAAAUAAAUGCUCACUGU